Molecule: long non-coding RNA, 2550 nt
Organism: Dreissena polymorpha
Lineage: Eukaryota; Metazoa; Mollusca; Bivalvia; Myida; Dreissenidae
Exons: 2
Source: RefSeq, a predicted model, not a curated record
GUAACCAUUACAUUAGAUUUUUGGACAAUAUAUGUAAUCAGUUACAAUCAAUUACAUUUACUGGAUUACUUGAAGGCUCUAUAAAGGUUACAAUCCGUAAUAGUUUACAGAUUUUUAAAUAUUUUUUUCAUAUGUUAUUUAUAAAGGUUAUCAAAAAACAUUAUAUACAUAUGCUAUUGGACAUUACCAUACAAAAAUGAGCAAUACAACUUGUUUUGAGCUCAAAAUACAGUGUCCUCCAAGUCAAUUGUGUUCACAAACAAUCAGUACAUCGCUGUUUACUUGGGCAGGUGAAAGUGAAAGUGACUCAGGUCACCAAAAAUAUAUCGUUGCUUUUCAAAGUUGUCCGGUAUCACUCACAAAGUAUGUCUCUUCUAAAUGGCUAAACUGUUUGGAGUGAUCUAAUAAGUUAAUUUCUGCUGGUAAAAAGUUGUUUAAAAUAGAAUUAGAAUAGAAUUUUCAUUCGGUUAUUUUUAGCAUGUGUCACCGCCUUGAGGCUACACAUCACGCUAGUUGCAAAGUUGUAAACAUUUUUUCCAAUUAUGAAACGGGUAUAUCUUCCAUAAUUCUUGACAACGUUGCACCUAAGAUGUGUUUUAAGCAUUUUUUAUGCAAGAGUAACUGAAAUCCGGAAAAAAUAGACUAGUUUAUAUAAAUAAUAAUUAGAUUUGCCACCUUUAUAGGGCCUAUAAUCUGUUUCUUACACUAUUAUUUCACUGGAAUAUUUUCAAUUAAUUGCACUUUUUUACUGGUCGCAAAAAUAUUUUGUUAUGCCCCUCAGUAGGGUGGCAUAUAGCAGUUGAACUGUCCGGGGUUUUUUCAAAGCGGCGCAAUAGGGGGCAUUGUGUUUCUUAGAACACAUCUAUUGUUUAAGUCAUAAUUCCCCCUUUGAAGAGGUGGGGCUAUAUUGUUUCGAAAAUGUCGGUCCGCACUAUCGCGAAUAGUUUUUGUGGGAUCAUCUUUAAGCUUUCUUACUGUACAUGUGGGCAAAGCCCAUGGCCAAGUUUGAUUAUCAGCUAAAUGUACCAGUUACUUUUGGAUUUUGGCUUUUGAGUUGUCCAAAAUGGAAAGAAUGGGUCAUGUAUGCUCUCUAAUGGACGAGUUUGAAAAUGGUUAUGGUUGGUUGGAAAACAUUGCCACCAGGGGCCCGGGCAUUUUUACUUCUAUGGCGAUAGUAAAACCUUGUAAGCGCUCUAAAUGUUACAUUUAUUGUUCACAAUUUAUGAAAUUUUGUCAGAAGAUUUGUCUCAAUGAUAUCUUGGAUUAGUUCAAAAAUGGUUACGUUUGCUUGAAAAACAUGGCUGCCAAGGGGCAGGGCAUUUAAACCAGGUUUUUCGAAGAAAAAAACUUGUUAUUAGAUUGGCAAAUGUCGGCGGGCGGGCGGAACAAGCUUGUCCAAGUCAUAACUUUGUCGUUCAUUGUCAGAUUUUAAAAUCAUUUGGUACAUUUGUUCACCAUCAUUUGACGGUGUGUCCCGCGAAAGUAUUACGUCGAUAUCUCCAAGAUCAAUGUCACAAUUUGACUUUGAAGGUAAAAAAUGAGCUUCUCCGGGCCAUAACUUUGUCAGUCAUUGUCAGAUUUUUAAAUCAUUUUCCUCAUUUGUUCACCAUCAUUAGAAGGUGUGUCGCGCGAAAGAAUUACGCCGAUAUCUCCAAGGUCAAGGUCACAAUUUGAGUUUGAAGGUCAAAAACGGUGGUCAAUGGACUUUUUUCAACUGAAAACAUGGUUUUGUGACAAUUUUGUCCCAUGUUCCUUAUAUGGUAUAGUAAAAUCUUGUUUACACUCCAGAGACCACAUUUAUUGCUCAAUCUUCAUGAAAUUUUGUCAGGAGAUUCAUCUCAAUUCUAUCUUAGACGAGUUCGAAAAUGAUGCCGGUUGGUUGAAAAAAUUGCCGCCAGGGGGCGGGGCAUUUUUCCUUAUAUGGCUAUAGUCAAUCAAACCUUGUUAACACUCUAGAAGCCAUAUUUAUUGCCUGAUCUUCAUGAAACUUGCUCAGAUGAUUUGUCCCAAUGAUAUCUUGGAUGAGUUAAAAAUGGAAACCUUUGCUUGAAAAACUUGGCUGCCAAGGGACGGGCAUUUUUCGUUGUAUGGCUAAAGUAAAAUCUUGUUAACACUCUAGAGGCUACAUUUAUUGCCUGAUCGUAUCGAGACUUGGUCAGAAAAUUCGAAAAUAAUGCUUGUUGGUUGAAAAAAUGGCUGCUAGGGGGCGGGGCAUUUGUCCUAUUUAGCUAUAGUAUAGCCUUGUUAACACUCUAGAGUUCACAUUAAAUUUCCGAUCAUCAUGAAAUUUGGUCAGAAGAUUUGUCCCAAUGAUAUCUUGAAAUAGUUUGAAAAUUGUUUUGGUUGCUUUAAAAUGAUGGCCACCAGGGGCAGGGCAUUUUUCUAUAUAUGGCUUUAGUAAAACCUUGUUAAUACUCUAGAAGCCACAUUUAUUGUCCAAUUUUCAUGAAACUUGGUCAAAAGAUUUGUCCCAAUAAUAUCUUGUUAUCUCAGGUGAGAGACAUAUCUUGUUUGGAUAUGUAUCUAUCAGCAAAUAAAAUAUAUUUUGUA